UGGGGAAUAUUGCACAAUGGGCGCAAGCCUGAUGCAGCCAUGCCGCGUGUGUGAAGAAGGCCUUCGGGUUGUAAAGCACUUUCAGCGAGGAGGAAGGUGGUGAGCUUAAUACGCUCAUCAAUUGGCGUUACUCGCAGAAGAAGCACCGGCUAACUCCGUGCCAGCAGCCGCGGUAAUACGGAGGGUGCAAGCGUUAAUCGGAAUUACUGGGCGUAAAGCGCACGCAGGCGGUUUGUUAAGUCAGAUGUGAAAUCCCCGGGCUCAACCUGGGAACUGCAUUUGAAACUGGCAAGCUAGAGUCUCGUAGAGGGGGGUAGAAUUCCAGGUGUAGCGGUGAAAUGCGUAGAGAUCUGGAGGAAUACCGGUGGCGAAGGCGGCCCCCCUGGACGAAGGCUGACGCUCAGGUGCGAAAGCGUGGGGCAGCAAACAGGAUUAGAUACCCUGGUAGUCCACGCUGUAAACGAUGUCGAUUUGGAGGUUGUGCCCCUUGAGGCGUGGCUUCCGGAGCUAACGCGUUAAAUCGACCGCCUGGGGAGUACGGCCGCAAGGUUAAAACUCAAAUGAAUUGAC
Molecule: ribosomal RNA, 570 nt
Filed under: uncultured bacterium
Lineage: Bacteria
Description: partial 16S ribosomal RNA
Rfam family: Bacterial small subunit ribosomal RNA
Source: RNAcentral